RNAcentral lists this ribosomal RNA (174 nucleotides) under Semotilus corporalis (fallfish). Its description in RNAcentral is "partial small subunit ribosomal RNA". The record is from RNAcentral. Lineage: Eukaryota; Metazoa; Chordata; Actinopteri; Cypriniformes; Leuciscidae.
CACCGCGGUUAGACGAGAGGCCCAAGUUGAUAAUACGCGGCGUAAAGGGUGGUUAAGGGUUGUAAACAAUAAAGCCGAAUGGCCCUUUGGCUGUUAAACGCUUCUGGGUGCCUGAAGCCCAACAUACGAAAGUAGCUUUAAAAUAGUUCACCUGACCCCACGAAAGCUGAGAAC